AUGUACCAUCGCAGAUGGAAUAACAAACAUAGAUUUGAAUGUAAUAGCCCAUUUCCACCACCAGUGUGCUGGAGCUACAACAGGAUGUUCCGUAUAAAAGAUCGGAAUCUCGCUCUACCCUAAAUAAAGAAGCUCAAAACCUACUGCUCUAGUAUGGCUAUACAUACCAACAGAACAAAUACAGUAGCAAAAUUUGACCAAUUAGAAAUCCAGGGGCAAGCGCUCACAACGUAUAUUACUGUUUCCUUUAGACAUGUAUACCAUUCCCGUUGCAAUAAAUGCCAUCUAAUGAUCCAUUAGCCAUCUUUGUCCCAUUUACAUAUCGAUGUGAUUUUAGUCCAGACGUACCAUUGCUCAAACUCCAUGUUUUGGGAACGCCCUUCUUCAACAAAGUUUCGAGUUGCCCAGUUGCUGCGGCUAUAAGCCCUAGGAACAGGGCAGAAGGGGUUCCUGGCCUUGAUUUAAAUUCUGGAUGAAAUUGAACUCCAAUGAA
RNAcentral lists this unclassified non-coding RNA (493 nucleotides) under Hevea brasiliensis (rubber tree). Lineage: Eukaryota; Viridiplantae; Streptophyta; Magnoliopsida; Malpighiales; Euphorbiaceae. The record is from RNAcentral.